This is a long non-coding RNA of Homo sapiens (human), 5789 nucleotides long. Ensembl annotates it as long intergenic non-protein coding RNA 639. Lineage: Eukaryota; Metazoa; Chordata; Mammalia; Primates; Hominidae. The record is from Ensembl.
ACCCCUGAGACAGCAAGACCAACAACCCCUUCUCUUCCUCUUCAGCCUACUCAGUGUGAAGAUGAUAAAUCAGUGUUUACUGCAGAGAACACAGAAGCCAGCAAGCAGCAGGGAAGGGAGGCGAACCAAUGCAGCAGCCCACCGGGACCGAGGAGGACACACGCAGAGCAAGUCACAGGAAGCGCAGCUGAAAACAAAUGGACGCUUAUCCCAAAUGCACAGGACACUUACCAAGAACUGAUGGUCCGUCAAAGUAAAGCUCAACAGCUUUGGCUGGCAGGACAGUCAAACUUUUGGACGACAGAAAGUAACAGUGGGAAAUGGGACAACAUCUGCCAGCAACGCGAGAGGCCAAGACCAUGGCUGCUACAGGAGGGGUCAGCGUCACAGUACACGCAUGGCGGCGGUUGCACAUGCAUGCCUGGGGAAUGUGAGUGUUCAGACAUGCCAGGAGUCCAGCCUCACCAGGAAACAGGCACACGGGGACAGAGGCGCAAACACUGAAAACUCUCGCUGAAUCCACUCGGCUGAGCGGUGGUCACGAGAGCACGGCCCUGCGCUCCCCACAAAACUGCACCUGGGCCCCAGGGCGAGACAGGCGUGGAAGGUGCAGGGGUGUGUGUGGGGGCAGGGGCUCCUGGCUCAGAGCCGUAUCCAGGAACCCCCCUUCAGGCUGGAGCCCUGCCCUGAGCCCCCUGUGGAGAGACUGUGGAGAGCCCCCUGUGGAGAGGGUGACUGUGGGAGAGCAGCAUCAGGCCUAGUCUCGGCUGUGAAGUACCCCCCACCUCCACGCAGGAUCCCGGGGAUUCUGUCAAGGUGGGGGCCGCCUGCUCAGCCCAGGCUCCCUGAACGUGUGGCUAGCUGAGUUUGCGGAAGAAACCAGGAGAGUGCCAACACCAGGCUUGCAAGCAAGAGGCUCCCUGACUGCCUGAUCCUGGAGCGCACCCCAUCCUCCCUGUGUUCCCUGGGCCUCAGCUGUUCCCCAGUGACCUUGGAGACACCCUGCCCCACCCUGGCUCCACAGGAGCCCUGCCCAUCACCGCCUCAGCUCUGAGUCUCCCCUGGGGACACAACCUUCCUCCUGGUGCAGAGGCGCAGGAUGCUGCCCCUAAGGCCCAUCUUCCUCUGCAGCAUGUUUUGAUGUCAGCUCAUUCACAGGAAAGAAACAAUCACAUCUCAGUGCCCAGAAUGGGGACCAAUAGGAGAGGUCACUGGGAAUAAAGCCCACACGCACCCCAGGGUCCAUGGGCUCCCCAGAAAUGCAGGUGGCCUCCGCCAGAGCCAACAAGCCUAAGUUGCUGAUCAGCCCCUCCCUGCUUCCCUGUGUGGAAGAGGAAACAGAGGCCCAGACUAGUAGGGCUCUGCCGUGGUGGCCGGCUGCGUCCCCAGACCUCUGGUCCCAGGGCUGGCUGGGAGUGCCCCUCCCUGUGCUCACUUCCUGCUCUCCUGGGAAAUGGCUCAGGGAUGGGGCGUGUGGGGACAGAUGCUGGCAUAGCUCACAAAAUGCUUGCACAAGGGACACUCCAUGGCAGGUCCCUGCAGGAGAGCAAAGUCACAACAUUCAGAGAUUCCCUGCACUCUGAGGCCCGCAGAGCCUGGCCGACCAAGCGAGGCUGGGAGGAUGUUGCCUGCUGGUCAGGGCAGCCCUCUGAUCAGGGCGGCCGAGUGAGGCUGGGAGGAUGGUGCCCGCUGGUCAGGGCAGCUGAGCGUGGCUGGGAGGAUGGUGCCUGCUGGUCAGGGCAGCCCUCUGGUCAGGGUGGCCAAGCGAGGCAGGGAGGGAGGUACCCACCGGUCAGGGCAGCCGAACAAAGCUGGAAAGAUGGUGCCUGCUGGUCAGGGCGGCUGAAUGAGGCUGGGAGGAUGGUGUCUGCUGGUCAGGGCAGCUCAGGAGGUGCUGCCCAGGAGGUGCUGUCCAGGCAGAGCCUAGGGCUGGUGUGGGUGUGCCAUGCUCCUGAGAAGUUUCUGGGUUGUGGCUUUAAUGUUCUCCUGCAGUGAGAACGCUGACACUUGGCCAAAGGGUCCUCACCUCUCCCCUAGUACACUUCUGAGAUGCCAGGAAGGUUCUGAACAUCAGAUUGAUUCCUGGGACUCCCCUCCAGGGUGGCCUUACUGGAGUCAGGAGCCCCUGCCCCACUAGGAUGGCUCUGCAGUGGCCUGAGGACAGUGAGCACUGACUGGUCACUGGUGCAAAGUUGCCCACUGUGAUGGUUUUGACCGUUGAUGGGAACCAAGUGAAAGCCCUGCAGCUAUUUCUAGGCAUUUCAGAGGGUGCUUCCCUGCAUGUACUCUGCUGCAGACCAUCCUCCCUGGGCCAGGAGCCCGCUACACAGUAGGAGAUUCUUUUUCUUCUCUUUUGAGCACUUUUAUUCUCUUUUUCUUAAUCUCUGCUCCUCCUUUGAACUGAGAAAUGUGCAAAUCUUUUUUGUUAGUUUUGAGGUUGCUUCUUAUGCAUAUUUCAUCUGGAACUUUCCCCUUUGGGGGUGAUCUGUUCUAUCAGCCUGCCCGCUGCUAGAGAGGCCGAGGUGGUCCGGCCAGCCGUGCGCUGCUGCUGGUGUCUCUGUGGGCAUGACCUGGUGAGAUAUCAUUCUGCAUCUGGGGGUCCAUCCUAUCAGCCCUGUGUUCUAGAUUCCCCAGUGACUGACAUUUAGCCAGUCUCCUCUGUCACUCUCCAGUGACAUGUACACACUGUUGGCACGAACUGCAGAUGUCACGUUCUGUGGCUGAGAGCCUCAGUGUGCAUCUGUAGUAGGAGGAUGUCAGUGAGGACUGUCCUGUCGCUGCUGAGCUGGCACCGACUGUGCCUGGUCUACACUCCAGGUCUGCCAAACGACCCAGCAAGGUCCUUCACAACUCUUCUGAUCCAGGAUCACACAUCACUUGUGCUUUGAUGCCUGCUUCUGAACAAUUUUACCUCCUGAGAUGUCCAUUUUUGGGAGUGUGAGCCCUCCUCUCCUGGUGACAGCUGGCUGAGGCCGUCCAGCCUCAGGACACACAGGGAACGGCUGCAUAAGGAGAUCUGGGGCAGGGGGCCCACCAGGAUGUUCUGCCCUGUGGGGGGCAACACCGGCUGUGGUCUGCCGGCGGCAUCCAGGGACAGUCUGUCUAGGUGAGGCUGAGGCCGCCCCCACUCGCUCCCUCACCCCCAUGCUGACAGCAGUGAGCUGACCACAGACUGGGGGAGCCCCACAGGGAGACUGGCCUCCCCAGCACAUGCCCCGCAGUGCCAGACGCGGUCAUCACAGAGGCAGGUACACGACACCACGGACGUGCCACGUACCCGCCAUCGGGACCAAGGACCACUGAGAAACCAUGAAGGCCAUGCAGCGACUGUGGUGGCAGGACCGUCAGGAGGCCAUAGGUGCCACGGCUCCCCUCUGGUGGUUCACCUGCCCACCUGUAGCUGGGGUGGCCCCUCCAGUGCGCUCCCCAGAGCAGAACACCCCCCAGGCAACACGUCUGAUGAAGGCCAACAGCGUCAGUCCUCUGGUGUUUGGUGACAUCAAAGCUGUGCCGAAAGGCCUUCCCUCACUGCUAACACUUGAAGGGCUUCUGUCCGGUGUGGACCCUCUGAUGGCGAAUGUGGUCUGUCUUAUGCUUAAAGAUCCACCUCCAUUAACUGCACUCUUAGGGUUUCUUCCUCUGAAAAGGAAUGAACACGGGAACCCCCUCAAAGGCAUUUUUAAAUGAAGCGUGGAAGGCAUCAAAGAUGUGCUCUUCUUCAGGACUCAGGCUUCUCCAUCAUUCUCUGUUCCUUGGAAGCGUGAGGGCUAAGGAGCUGCUGACUUCUCUCUCUUGGCCCCACUUCAAGAAAGGCUUGCUUCCCACACACCUCUCCACGCUCCCAGUGCGGGACUGACACUCUGCACCGGGAGGCCAAGGGCCACCAUCGUCUUGCUGGGAGAAGGUGUGACGUUUCUUGGUCAUAGGAGGGAGUGUGAUCUGACACCAGAGGACUUAAUAUAACAUUGCAGUGUUAACAUCUUCACUGGCAGAUUCAUGGACUUUCCCCCUCCUGAAUGCAUUUCAACACCUUGAAAUGAACGAUGCCUCAUGUCUCUGCAGGGUGGACAUAGCUCUAACUCUCUGAAGCUGAUUAUAUGUCAAGUUCUGUGUGAAAUGAGAGACCAUGGGGAUUCAUUAUUGCUGGAGUUGACGGUAUUGCAGUUUUAUAACCAUCUAAUAAAUUAGCAUUUAAUACUGAGAGAUUUCAUCUUAAACUCAGAGGAUUGCUUUGUUUUAAAGAAGAUUUUUGCAAGGAGAAGCAAUGGAAACCAUUCAGAAAAUGUGGGAGAUAAAAAUCCUAUUCAAGAAAACGGAUCUUGGAUCUUUGCAUUCACUUGAUUUGUCAGAAUAUUAUUCUGUGCUAAAAAAUAGAAGGGAUUAAAUGUUAAAAAUCACUGAGGCACAAUUCUCUUGAGUUCACCAAUUUUGUACUCCUAUUUCCAGUUUCUUUUCACAUACGUCAUUCUCCAUCCUGAUUAAGCUUGUUCUUUCUGAGCUCAUUUCUGAUACCAAAAGAAGUCAUAAAGUUCUAUAAGAUUAAGAAUUCUCUUAGAAGUACAGAUUUGCAUGAACGUCAAAGAAAAAAAUAUCACAUUUUACUCCCAUAUGCUUUAAUGAUUAUUUUAUUAGGUCAGGCAUGGCUUAGGUUAGAACCUUUGUGGUUUUUUUUUUUUUUAAAUUCCAUUUAGUUAAAUGUUGACACAAUAUUUUUGGAAUUCUAUAUUUUGACUUUUCCGUUAACCUAGGUCUGUUUUGGAGUGGGGAAGAGGGUAGGUCAUCAUUUCUAUUUAAAAUGGGAAUUGGCUAGGCGUGGUGGCUCACGCCUGUAAUCCCAGCACUUUGGGAGGCUGAAGCGGGUGGAUCACGAGGUCAGGAGAUCGAGACCAUCGUGGCUAACACGGUGAAAACCCGUCUCUACUAAAAAUACGAAAAAAAUUAGCCGGGCAUGGUGGUGGGCGCCUGUAGUCCCAGCUACUCGGGAGGCUGAGGCGGGAGAAUGGCGUCAACCCGGGAAGCAGAGCUUGCAGUGAGCCAAGAUUGUGCCACUGCACUCCAGCCUGGGCGACAGAGCGAGACUCCAUCUUAAAAAUAAAAUAAAAUAAAAAAUAAAAGUGGCGAUAAUUAAAAAGUCAGGAAACAACAGGUGCUGGAGAGGAUGUGGAGAAAUAGGAACACUUUUACACUGUUGGUGGGACUGUAAACUAGUUCAACCAUUGUGGAAGACACUGUGGUGAUUCCUCAAGGGUCUAGAACUAGAAAUACCAUUUGAUCCAGCCAUCCCAUUACUGGGUAUAUACCCAAAGGAUUAUAAAUCAUGCUGCUAUACAGACACAUGCACACGUAUGUUUAUUGCGGCACUAUUCACAAUAGCAAAGACCUGAAACCAACCCAAAUGUCCAUCAAUGAUAGACUGGAUUAGGAAAAUGUGGUGCAUAUACACCAUGGAAUACUAUGCAGCCAUAAAAAAGGAUGAGUUCGUGUCCUUUGUAGGGACAUGGAUGAAGCUGGAAACCAUCAUUCUCAGCAAACUAUCGCAAGGACAAAAAACCAAACACCGCAUGUUCUCACUCAUAGGUGGGAAUUGAACAAUGAGAACACUUGGGCACAUGGUGGGGAAGGAACAUCCCACACCGGGGCCUGUUGUGGGGUAGGGGGGAGCGGGGAGGGAUAGCAUUAGGAGAUAUACCUAAUGUAAAUGACGAGUUACUGGGUACAGCACACCAACAUGGCACGUGUAUACAUAUCUAACAAACCUGCACGUUGUGCACAUGUAACCUAGAACUCAA